Molecule: ribosomal RNA, 410 nt
Filed under: uncultured microorganism
Description: bacterial SSU rRNA
Rfam family: Bacterial small subunit ribosomal RNA
Source: RNAcentral
CAGCCGCCGCAGUAAUACGUAGGGUGCGAGCGUUAAUCGGAUUUACUGGGCGUAAAGCGUGCGCAGGCGGCCCGUUAAGACAGGUGUGAAAUCCCUGGGCUCAACCUAGGAAUUGCGCUUGUGACUGGCGGGCUCGAGUACGGUAGAGGGGGGUGGAAUUCCUGGUGUAGCAGUGAAAUGCGUAGAGAUCAGGAGGAACACCGAUGGCGAAGGCAGCCCCCUGGGCCUGUACUGACGCUCAUGCACGAAAGCGUGGGGAGCAAACAGGAUUAGAUACCCUGGUAGUCCACGCCCUAAACGAUGGGUACUAGCCGUUUGGUGCGCGAUAGCGCUGAGUGGCGAAGCUAACGCGAGAAGUACCCCGCCUGGGGAGUACGGCCGCAAGGUUGAAACUUAAAGGAAUUGGCGGG